Molecule: RNA transcript, 1033 nt
Organism: Osmia bicornis bicornis
Lineage: Eukaryota; Metazoa; Arthropoda; Insecta; Hymenoptera; Megachilidae
Exons: 6
Source: RefSeq, a predicted model, not a curated record
GUAUCAGCAUAUGUCAUUUAAAUUUACAUUGCCGCAAAUUAUAGAAAUGUUUCAAAUAGAUUGGCAUGAAUAUAUUGAAAAAAUGAAAAGAGUAAUUACUUGUUGCUGUUAUACUUGUAGAAGUAUAUUAUGAUAUAUAUUGAUUAUAAAUUUUGCAUUGCAUUUAUAGCAAAUUGGUGGGAAAAUGUGGUCAUUAAAACGGCCAGUAGCAGUUUUUAUAAACAAUGAAUUUAUUGGUAGUGACAUGGAAUUUUUUCAUUAUAUAAGUGAAGAUUAUAUUUUUAGUUUACCUUUUGGAAUAGAAUAUUACGAAAAUAUUGCCAUAGAGCGUUGUAAGCAAUUUAUGGAAAAAUCUAAGAGAAUAUAUGUUUAUUUUACCUUUACUAUAAACAAUCAUAUAGCCGGCUCGUUCGUAUUUAUGUUAUAUUCUGAUUUAUUACCAUUAACUUGCCAACAUUUUUUAAACCUUUGUAAUGGGUAUGAUGAAGUGAAACAUUGUUAUAGAGAUGCUUAUUAUAUAAAUACACGUGUACAUCGUAUCGUUAAAAAUGGAUGGAUUCAAUGUGGAGAUGCUGAACUAUCUGAAAUCAGUGAAGAUAGAGCAGGUAAUGUACCUGUGAUACCUGAUGAGUCUUAUUGUAUUCCUCAUGAUCGUCGUGGAGUUCUUUCAAUGGCAAAUGAUGGGAAACAUUGUAAUCAAUUUCAAUUUAUUGUAUGCUUAAAGCCCAAUCCUUGGAUGAAUCAUUACUAUGUUGCCUUUGGAAACAUCAACCACCGUCAAGUAUUGAAGGAGAAGCUACAAGAAUUAUUAGUGACAAUAUGUUUGACUUUUAUUGUAUCACACCGUGGCUUGAUAAUAUUGUAGAUGUAAUAGAUGUCCGUGACACAGCAUCCCUCUUAAUGGUUGAACGAUAUUUAAGUGGUCUUUAUUGUCUUUCAACAGACUAUAUGCCAGAAUGUUUGAAACAUGUAUGCAAGAUGUAUUACCUUCAGAAAAUUGUUUGUUACUGCUGCAAAAUAUAUUGGACAAAGC